RNAcentral lists this unclassified non-coding RNA (326 nucleotides) under Hevea brasiliensis (rubber tree). The record is from RNAcentral. Lineage: Eukaryota; Viridiplantae; Streptophyta; Magnoliopsida; Malpighiales; Euphorbiaceae.
UUUUUGUCGUCCUGGAUCAGUUCAAUUGAUUCAUACUUUGCAUGGAUAAAAGUGAUUUUGUUUGUAUCAAAAUCUUUAUGGAUACUUAAUGGUGGUUGACAUAUUGUUAACCAGAAGCUGUUGCUUAUUAGCAUUCUGAAUAAUUGUUCGAGAUGAUCCAGUAUGCACUAUCUGGCAUCUGUAGGUUAAUCUUGAAGUAGAGAUAUGGAUACUGAUACUGCAAAGGUAUGUCCACCUCAAGUAUUUACUCAUUUUAAUUUUAUUUUGUCAUCAUUUGGCUGUGAAAUCUGCAGACUGCAGUGGAUAGAUCAAGUGAGAAGGUGCGG